UCGAUCCGUGCAGGGUCGAUGAGGAUGUGUCAUCAGCAAAGCGACCGGUGUUUAGCGGCGUCCUGUCCCGCCAGUCCCUCGAGCCCUUGACCCUCCUAAGACCUGACAGGGGGAUGUCUCUACGCUGCGGGGAUGCGGCUCGCAGCCUGGGGUCCUGGGUAUUUGGAAGAUAUUUAUACAACCCGACUAGAGCAUUAAGUUCUUUGCCCGAUAAAAAAAAGGAAUUUUUACAGAAUGGACCAGAUCUUCAAGAUUUUGUGUCUGGUGAUCUUGCAGACAAGAGCACCUGGGAUGAAUAUAAAGGAAAUUUAAAGCGCCAGAAAGGAGAAAGGUUAAGACUACCUCCGUGGUUAAAGACAGAGAUACCCAUGGGUAAAAAUUACAAUAAGCUGAAAACUACGUUGCGAAAUUUAAAUCUCCACACAGUCUGCGAGGAAGCCCGGUGUCCCAACAUUGGAGAGUGUUGGGGAGGUGGAGAAUUUGCUACAGCCACAGCCACCAUCAUGUUGAUGGGGGACACAUGUACAAGAGGUUGCAGAUUUUGUUCUGUUAAGACUGCAAGAAACCCCCCUCCGCUGGAUGCCAAUGAGCCCUACAAUACGGCCAAAGCAAUUGCAGAGUGGGGUCUGGAUUAUGUUGUGCUGACAUCGGUGGAUCGAGAUGAUGUGCCCGAUGGGGGAGCUGAGCACAUCGCCAAGACUGUCUAGUGCCUGAAGGAGAGGAAUCCAAAAAUCCUUGUGGAAUGCCUCACCCCUGACUUCCGAGGAGAUCUGGGAGCAGUAGAAAAGGUCGCUCUGUCGGGCUUAGAUGUGUACGCACACAAUGUAGAAACUGUUCCGGAAUUACAGAGGAAAGUUCGUGAUCCCCGGGCCAAUUUUGACCAGUCUCUUCGUGUAUUGAAACAUGCUAAGAAAGUUCAGCCUGAUAUUGUUUCCAAAACAUCAAUAAUGCUGGGCCUAGGUGAAACGGAUGAGCAAGUCCAAGCAACGAUGAAAGCACUCCGCGCAGCAGAUGUGGACUGUUUAACUCUAGGACAGUAUAUGCAGCCAACGAAGCGCCACCUUAAGGUUGAAGAGUACGUUACUCCUGAGAAGUUCAAGUACUGGGAAAAAGUAGGAAAUGAGCUUGGAUUUCAUUACACUGCAAGUGGCCCUUUGGUGCGCUCUUCAUAUAAAGCAGGUGAAUUUUUCCUGAAAAAUCUAGUGGCUAAAAGAAAAACGAAAGCUUCUAAAGUUUAGCCAAGACCUUCAGAAUUACAGGAAUUUGAAGAUUUUACUUACAGUUGGUGCCAGCCUUUCAGGAUUCCAGUGUAUCUGACCAACGCUGUUGUGUCUGCAGUGUCUGGUGUCUGGUCCAGGAACAGGAGCAGGUAGCUGUAAUUCCUCUCAGGCCAUCCCCAGCUACCUGAGUAAGACCCGAUCCCAAAAUAAAAAAAAAAAAAAAAAAAU
Alexandromys fortis (reed vole) is the source of this 1448-nucleotide RNA transcript. It is a transcript of the gene named lipoic acid synthetase, with no coding region annotated. The transcript is spliced from 11 exons. The record is from RefSeq and is a predicted model, not a curated record. Lineage: Eukaryota; Metazoa; Chordata; Mammalia; Rodentia; Cricetidae.